GCCGUCCGGCCCGGUUGCGGGCGACGCUCGCGCCGCGUUCGGCCGCACGGGUGGUGUGGGCGGUGUCGGACCGCUGGACGGCG
Molecule: transfer RNA, 83 nt
Filed under: Streptomyces longisporoflavus
Lineage: Bacteria; Bacillati; Actinomycetota; Actinomycetes; Kitasatosporales; Streptomycetaceae
Description: tRNA-Arg
Source: RNAcentral